GAUCAUGAAUAACCUCCAGCACCUGAAUCCAUGAGCAUUUGAUGGAUCAAAGAUACAUAUCUAAAGAAAAUGCAAAUGUGGAACCAUUUUUAUUCGAGAAAUUAAAGAAUGCUAGAAGCUGAUUACAGGGAAGAAUGAAUUAAACUACAUAAAGGUUCAAAGUACACAAUUGAGACAUAAUCAUACUUUAGAACAGUAUCAUUGUAGAAAUAGCAUAGCAGUUGAAGAAGCAUCUAACAAGAGGUCAUGUGGUCCAAUCAAAAAAAACUACAGAAUGGAAUUUUUUGUUAUGUAAACCAACAGCUUUUUGAAUGCAUCUACUCCUCAAUGAAGAAUAUGUAUUUCAAAAGGUCCAUCAGAGACAACCAAUUAAUGCAAUUAUUAUCAACAUUGAUUUUGGUACUUUUAUCUCAUGUAAACCUAAACAAGAUUAAGAACCUUGCCAAAUAUACUUUAGUUUUGCACAGCAGGAUUCCAAUUCUACAGAAUCAAUUUGUAAGUUUAUGUGAUUUGUUAGAAUGGUAUGUAUAUAAUUAGGGCUUUAAUUAGAAGAUUAAAUCCCUUUAGUUAAGGGAUUUCUUGAUUAGGGUAAUUUUGUAUAUCUUCCAUUUUAGGAUCACAAAAACUGUAUAUAUAUCCCUCAGAAGCGUGAGGGAAUAAUCAAGCUAUUUUCCCCCAAAUUCCUCUUCUUCUACAUAAUUGUUUAUAUAAAU
RNAcentral lists this unclassified non-coding RNA (713 nucleotides) under Hevea brasiliensis (rubber tree). The record is from RNAcentral. Lineage: Eukaryota; Viridiplantae; Streptophyta; Magnoliopsida; Malpighiales; Euphorbiaceae.